Molecule: ribosomal RNA, 317 nt
Filed under: Dendropsophus parviceps (Sarayacu treefrog)
Lineage: Eukaryota; Metazoa; Chordata; Amphibia; Anura; Hylidae
Description: partial 12S small subunit ribosomal RNA
Source: RNAcentral
AGUGCCAAGUUAAAAAAAGCGCUUUGGUCUUUUUUUACUUCUAAAUCCGCCUUCCGACUAGGUUUCAUAUAUAGUCUUCCGUGUAGUCUAAUUUAGACAGUGUAGCCCAUCUCUUCCCAUUUUAUAUGCUGCACCUUGACCUGACGUACUGGCGUAGGGGCAUUUAGCUCACUAGUUGGCGCUCACGUGGUAAGCUGACGACGGAGGUAUACAGGCUGAUAUGCUAAAAAUGGUGAGGUUAAGCGGGGGUUAUCGAUUAUAGGACAGGCUCCUCUAGGUGGAUAUGGGGUACCGUCAAGUCCCUUGGGUUUUAAGCU